Molecule: ribosomal RNA, 497 nt
Filed under: uncultured bacterium
Lineage: Bacteria
Description: partial 16S ribosomal RNA
Rfam family: Bacterial small subunit ribosomal RNA
Source: RNAcentral
ACUCAAAGGAAUAGACGGGGGCCCGCACAAGCGGUGGAGCAUGUGGUUUAAUUCGAUGCAACGCGAAGAACCUUACCUACCCUUGACAUGUCUGGAAUUUGCGCGAAAGCGUGAAGUGCCGAAAGGAACCAGAACACAGGUGCUGCAUGGCUGUCGUCAGCUCGUGUCGUGAGAUGUUGGGUUAAGUCCCGUAACGAGCGCAACCCCUGUAUUUAAUUGCUACCAUUAAGUUGAGUACAUUAAAUAGACUGUCGGUGAUAAACCGGAGGAAGGUGGGGAUGACGUCAAGUCCUCAUGGCCCUUAUGGGUAGGGCUACACACGUGCUACAAUGGGCAGUACAGAGGGAAGCGAAGCCGCGAGGUGAAGCAAAUCUCACAAAGCUGCUCGUAGUCCGGAUUGGAGUCUGCAACUCGACUCCAUGAAGCUGGAAUCGCUAGUAAUCGCGGAUCAGAAUGCUGCGGUGAAUACGUUCCCGGGCCUUGCACACACCGCCCGU